RNAcentral lists this ribosomal RNA (293 nucleotides) under uncultured eukaryote. RNAcentral describes it as "partial 18S ribosomal RNA". It matches the Rfam family "Eukaryotic small subunit ribosomal RNA", at positions 6 to 301 of the family's 1831-position model. The record is from RNAcentral.
GGUUGAUCCUGCCAGUAGUCAUACGCUUGUCUCAUAGAUUAAUCCAUGCCAGUGCCAGUAUAAGUUUAUACACAACGAAACUGCGAAUGGCUCAUUAUAACAGUAAUAAUUUCUGUGGAAGUAGUUCCCACACGGAUACCUGUGGUAAUUCUGGAGCUAAUACGUGAUUAAACACUUGGCUUUCGAGUUCGAGUGGCACUUAUUAGAUAAAGAACCAGCCCAUGAAAAUGGUAAAUUGGUGAUCCAUAAUAACUUAGUGAAUCGUAUGGCCUCGGCUUUCGAUAGUCCACUUA